UACAGAGGUCCCAAGCGUUGUUCGGAUUCAUUGGGCGUAAAGGGCGCGUAGGCGGCGCGGUAAGUCGGGUGUGAAAUCUCGGGGCUUAACUCCGAAACUGCAUUCGAUACUGCCGUGCUUGAGGACUGGAGAGGAGACUGGAAUUUACGGUGUAGCGGUGAAAUGCGUAGAUAUCGUAAGGAAGACCAGUGGCGAAGGCGGGUCUCUGGACAGUUCCUGACGCUGAGGCACGAAGGCCAGGGGAGCAAACGGG
Molecule: ribosomal RNA, 253 nt
Filed under: uncultured bacterium
Lineage: Bacteria
Description: partial 16S ribosomal RNA
Rfam family: Bacterial small subunit ribosomal RNA
Source: RNAcentral